GCCGCUUCGAGCUGGUUCAUCCCAUAUUUUACAUGAAUGUGGUUCUUGCAAAUGAGAAAUUCGGAGUAAUCUUCACCUACGCACGCGUUCUUCAUCUUCGGAUGUUGAACCUGUGACUGCCCGUGAGGGCCUGGCGCGAAUGCGUCUGCAAUCAGCAUCAGAAACUCAGAGCUGGUGUAUUUCCUUGGAAAUAUCAUCCAGGUUUCUCUAUGGAAGAGCUGUUGCGAAGAUCGUGUGUACAUAAGUAUGCCACUUGAGUGCAAUACGCAGCGUUCUCUCUGCUUUCAAUCUAUUGAUAGGAAAGGGUUCCAUUCGAUUCCGAUUACUCUGAUGUGGG
This 337-nucleotide RNase P RNA is filed under the name Phaeomoniella chlamydospora. RNAcentral's name for it is "Nuclear RNase P". It matches the Rfam family "Nuclear RNase P". From Rfam's summary of the family: Ribonuclease P (RNase P) is a ubiquitous endoribonuclease, found in archaea, bacteria and eukarya as well as chloroplasts and mitochondria. The record is from Rfam by way of RNAcentral. Lineage: Eukaryota; Fungi; Ascomycota; Eurotiomycetes; Phaeomoniellales; Phaeomoniellaceae.